This 363-nucleotide ribosomal RNA is filed under the name uncultured eukaryote. RNAcentral's name for it is "partial 18S ribosomal RNA". It matches the Rfam family "Eukaryotic small subunit ribosomal RNA", at positions 592 to 976 of the family's 1831-position model. The record is from RNAcentral.
CAAUAGCGUAUAUUAAAGUUGUUGCAGUUAAAAAGCUCGUAGCUGUGAUGAUGGAAUGUUUUGCGGUUUACAUUUAGUUGUAAUCUGUGAUAACGUAUCAUUUUGGUUCGGAAAAUGCUUAAGGAGUGUUAUUCCAGAACCACUGUUACUUUGAGUAAAUUAGAGUGUCAGAAGCAGGUAUAAUGCUUGAAUACACCAGCAUGGAAUAGCGAAGAGGCGAUCGUGUUGUUUGUUGGUUACACAUGGUUUGCAGGGCUUAUAGAAACAGUUGGGGGCAUUUGUAUUCAACAGUCAGAGGUGAAAUUCUUAGAUUUGCUGAAGACAGGCUAAUGCGAAAGCAUUCGUCAAAAAUGUUUUUGUUAG